GACCACGUGGCCGUUCCAUGUGGGAAAGUCUGGGUGCUUGCUCCUCAGAAAGGGGAAGCUGGAGGGUGACGGCGGAAAGCGGUCCUUCUCACCCCGGCAGGGGACGUCCCAACUUCAGCUCUACCAGCCUUUGGAGCUCCUUCACCCAGAGAAGACCGGCACCCCAUCAGAAACGUUACCAUGCUGAGUGACCCUGAGUCAUCGGAGCAGGUCACACUGUGCCAGCCCGUAGAAAGCUGGUUUAUCUCUUAAUUCAGGCAAAAGACCCUGUGGGCCAAGCAAGCCGGCGAGACCCCGCCGUCUGACCCCAAGACAAGGAUCCACCUGACCUUCGCUGCCUACCUGCACGUCCCCACCGACCGUCCGCAUUUUGCUUCUAUAAACCGGGAAGCAUUUUCAACCCUCUCUUUGAGACUCUAGUCUGCUGUCCUCCUGGUCUUGGCCUCGCCGAAAUAAACCCCUUUCUCAUUCCGCUGCCGCUCGUCUCUCUGCUUUGGAUUUUGUCAACCGAACUUGGUCUGUUGGGGACCCCUGGAGCCGGUUCUUGGACCCCGGCCCCCCAGUUCCGGGCUGCCGCCCAGGACCCCACACCUCUGAGCGCCCAGCAAGAUGAGGGCUGACAACUGUGGGAACAGCGCCCGGCGGACACGAGGUUCUGUACAAAUAUUUGUCCGCUAACGUCCAUUCAGCCAUGUGAG
RNAcentral lists this long non-coding RNA (698 nucleotides) under Mustela putorius furo (domestic ferret). RNAcentral describes it as "lncRNA (ENSMPUG00000024437.1)". The record is from RNAcentral. Lineage: Eukaryota; Metazoa; Chordata; Mammalia; Carnivora; Mustelidae.